This 2184-nucleotide long non-coding RNA is filed under the name Bos grunniens (domestic yak). RNAcentral describes it as "lncRNA (ENSBGRG00000017190.1)". The record is from RNAcentral. Lineage: Eukaryota; Metazoa; Chordata; Mammalia; Artiodactyla; Bovidae.
AUGAAAGUGAAAAAUGAAAGUGAAGUCACUCAGUCAUGUCUGACUCUCAGCGACCCCAUGGACUGCAGCCUACCCGGCUCCUCCGUCCAUGGGAUUUUCCAAGCAAGAGUACUGGAGUGGGGUGUCAACAAGUCUCUGGAGUCCGACAAAUCUAGCUGGCAACCGGCUGAAAAAGCGGCAGUUUUCAGCUGCAAGAGGCAUAAUUCCUGACUCCGAGCCUGCUUUCAGAGCCUGCCUGAGGUGGCCAAGAGGUCCUGCUUGAGGAGGGGUGUGAACAGAAUAACAUGAUCCUCUACAAGGCUGGCCACAAAUGUGCAUUUCAGACCUCUUGUGCAGUACUGGUAAGAAGGUGAGAAGAGGGGUGACCUGGAAUGGGGACCCCAAGGAUCCAUGGGGAUCCUGGGGCAGCCACACACCUGUGUAAAAGUCCAAGAAUGAGACGACUUGAAAUUUGAACCUGGAAUUCUGGUAGUUAUGAUGUACAUUUUUUCAAAGUCAGGUUGGAGUGAUGGAAUAUAUUUUAUUUAGCAGAUUGUUUGCUUGACUUACUUUUAUUUUUAAAGCUUAUUUGUAAUGUGAGGUAAUUGCAGAUUCACAUACACUUUUAAGAAAUAAUGUAAAGGUAUGUCUUGUACAUUUUUCCUAGUUUCUCCCAAUGAUAACAUUUUGCAAAAGUAUAGCAUAGUAUCACUACCAGGAUAUUGACAUAUAUACAGUCCAAAGAUAUUCUGAUUUCCCCAAUUUUACUUGGAAUUGUUGGUAUGUAAGUGUGUAUUAAGUUCUAUACAUUUUUUCAUCUGUGUCAGUUCAUCUAUUUGCUGUUACAGUCAUGUAUUUGCUAUUAUAAUCCUUGUAAUAUCACAAGAAUUCCUUGUGGAUUUCUUACUUUUAAAUACAUAGAACAUUUCCAGCAAGUGAGGGGGAGUAAUAUUAAACUUAAAUGUUUGGCCUAGGUUAAAUUUAGAGUAAAGUAAUAUUGAUACAUCAAAAUGGAGGAUACUUCUGAAAGGGAAAACUCUGCUUGAAACAAAAUGUGUGUAUUAACCCAGUAAUUCUGCUGGGAAAGGUUUUCUUCCCUCUUGCAUUUACAGAUGGGGGUUGUGGGGAGACUGUACCUGAAACCACGGCCUCCAAUUCUUGGGACAGGCUGUUUUUCUGUCCUUUAUUGCUCAAUACUCCACAUCUAUAUGGGGCUUCCCUGAUGGCUUAGUGGUGAAGAACCUGCCUGCCAAUGCAGGAAACAUGCGUUCAGUCCCUGGGUCAGGAAGAUCCCCUGGAGAAGGAAACAGCAACUCACUCCAGUAUUCCUGCCUGAAAAUUCCAUGGACAGAAGAGCCUGGCAGGCCACAGUCCAUGGGGUCACCAAAGAGUCUGAGAUUACUUGGCGACUAAAUGACAACUACAUCUGUAUGUUAUUUGCCCAACACGCCUCUCUUGUUCUUUUAUUGCUUAAUGCUCUGCAUCUGUGAACAUAAGAAAGCUGACCCUGGGGCAACCCUCUUAGUUUAGUAAAGCUCUUGGGCUUUCUAAAAGGCCUGGUUUUCAGAGUGUGUAGGAGGUUGAGGACCAUCCUGUUAUCUUAUUAGGAACCUAUAUAUAUCUCAGGGUUACCUCCACACUGGAUACAGACUUUUAGGCCACUAGGCCAACUCACAUUCUCCUGGGGCAGUUAACAAGGCAGAAAGGACUUUUAUUACCUGAUGAUGGUAGGAGUUAUCACUAAAAGCUAGGACCUCCUGGAACAUAUCAAAUGAGAAAAAUUGCUGUUAGGUUAUAGUCAGGAUUCAGUUCAGAGCAUUUCCACCCCUGACCUUCCUGUAGCUUGUCUCAGGGGCUCUGAGGCCUGUCCUGGAAUCCCUCUGAUGGUUGGCAGAAGCCUCUGUUCUGCCUCCCCAACCAGAUACAGCCUGUUGGCGGACUGGCUCUUCAAGCUCUUCUUUUCGGUCUUUUGGUUUCUAAGUCUCUGCGUUUUCGGUAGUUGGUUGACUCCUAGCAGGAGCUAAGACCUGAUCUGGGAAUGAAGCCAGGACCCAGGGCAGUCAAAAGACAGAAAUUGGCUGUGAAAAUAAACCUAAUACUUCCUCAGGAACUCUGGGGUGUUAGCAGUGUUCUGGAGGCAAACCAUUUGUUUAUUUCAGGGUCCAUGUUAUUGAGAUAUAUAAACAUGUUAGACAAACGAUUGGA